This 1229-nucleotide long non-coding RNA is filed under the name Gossypium barbadense (sea-island cotton). Its description in RNAcentral is "long non-coding RNA (GBAR_LNC011541)". The record is from RNAcentral. Lineage: Eukaryota; Viridiplantae; Streptophyta; Magnoliopsida; Malvales; Malvaceae.
CCAUAUUUUCAUCUUUUUUCUUUGACAGAAACAUUAAAGAAAAAAAAAGAAAUAAGGUUUUCAAUGGUUCAGCCAUUGUUAAGCUUAAUCAAGGUAUGUAGCUGUAAGACCUAAUUUGUGACCGGGCUUACACAAACUAAAAAACAAAUCAAAAUAUAAAUAAUAAUAAUAAUAAUAAAGUCUAAUGUCCAUUUCUUACAUAGCCCAACAACCAAAAAUAACGGGCUCAAAUUAAAAAACCUAAACCCAACAAAAUACACAGCUCACUGGCCCAAAUAAUCCAAGCUUCAGUUUCAGAAAAUGAAACCCUAAGUCAGUAGCCUCGUGCCGCAGCCUUCACGAGUGGCCUCGCUACAUCGCACGUGCACCUCCGUUCCUCCACGUCAACGGAACCUGUGAGAAGGAAAAUAAACAGCAAAGGAAUGCACGAGAGAGAAGCUAACAGAAUUUACAGCGAUUGACAGCAAGAAAAUGUAAUUUUAUUUUUUAUUUACUCUGUAAAUCCGGCUAUAAAAAGCCAUCGAAUGUACCUGCAAAGGAGGCAUAUGACGCACAGUGUACGCAUACACACAUACAAUAUACAGAUAUUGAAUAGAAAAGUUUAAAAGCAUUUUGAAAAGGUAAUUUUCUUUAGUCUUUUUAACUAUUCUGUUAUUUUUUAUAUAUUUUCUUGCCAUUGCUUUCAUCAUCUGUGUUUUAAAAUAAAGAGGAGAGAAAAGCAAGUCUCACCUUGCAAAUCGGCCACCGAUCUCCGUUCACUUCGUUGAGAUCGAAGUAGAAAGGGGAUCCAAAGGCAACAUCUAUUACUGCUGGUGCGCCAUUGAGCACCAAAUUAAAUGGUGGAUUCGACAGAUGCAGAAAACCGAAGCAAAUUGAUUUUUGGGGGUUGUUAAUUUAGGUUAAAAAAUGGCUGAACUAAAAGAAGAGAAAAAGGCAUUAAAACCUUUGUAGAAAGUGGUGCUGUUUGAAAUGGAAAAGUCCACGUGUAAACCCGAUGCAAAAGACAGAUCUGCACUCUUUUUUAUCUUAAAUGAGCUAUUUGCACGUCUGAUCCUUCCCGCAUAUGUCAAUCUUCAAUCGGAUCCAACCUAUGCUACACUUAUUUUUUUAUUUUGUCUGGGAAUUUGUACACUAUUGCGAUUUGAUCCACGGCUAAAUUCAGCGUUUUGAAAUGUAAAUUAUUUCCAAUUCUGGUCCUUAUACAUUUGCAAGCAUGACGCCUAAGUCCC